ACACUCACCACUGACCACCACUCCCUCCCGGAUGGCUGACCAUGGCCUCACCUCCUACCCUGUCACUUCACACUCCCCCCUUUGUUUCUUGUUGACGGCUUAUUACAUUCAUUUAUGGAUUUCCUAACUUCUGGUUUCUAGUUCCUUCUUUCUGCCCCAAACAAGGACAGAAAUUCCCCACGAACCAUGACCUUUCUAUGUCCUGCUCACUGCUCUCUCCAGAGCAUAGCCCAGAGCCAGUACACCUCGCACACCCAGCACACCUUGGUCGAAGGGAAGAAUGCACAGACAACGAACUCUGAAGUCCUCUCUUCAAAACUAAGCUGUCACUAGGAAAGGAAACGUCUUCAGAAGGAAGAGGCAGGUGGGAAGGCUUUUUUCAUACGCUUUCUCAAGGUGUGACGUCACCUCCUUAAAAACACGCUGCCUGGAAGAAAGGCGAGGUCCCAGGGCCCGACGGGCAAGAAGUGGGUCCUAACAAGACCCGGCCUGGGGGCGGCGUCUUGUGCUGACCCUGUUGGGAGAUGGGCGGGUGCACCCUGCACACACUUUCUGCUGGUGAACACAGAUGAGGCUCGUGCAGUGCACGUGGGGCGGAGAGCGGCCCAGACCUGGUUCCGGGUUCCAAGAGCGAAAGGUGUCUGUGCCGGGUUCAGUCCGCACGCACCCAGUUUCUUCCCGGGGGAGCUCCUCCACCUGUCAUCGGUGGAUGGAAACCUCCAAUUCUACCUUGAAAGGAUCCUUUGUAGCUCAUGCCUCAUUUUCUGCAGAGCUGCCAGAAGAUUCCAGAGACACUGCCUCCCCUCCACGUGCAGAUCUGCCUCCAGAUGCAGCUGCCAGGGUUCCCUCUGCCAAAGGUGAAGCACGGGCCAGGAAGGGCGGGCACCGUCACCUGUAUUUAUGGAGGGAAUUCUGAUUUUCAGAAUUCCGAUUUGCUUGUGGAGAGGUUUGCUUGGGUUUUCGUGGCCUUGCCUAGCACGUGUCCAGCACAGUGACCACUGCUUGUCGGGUGGGGAUGAGGCGGGUCUGGGAGUCCCCAACAUACACACAUGCUGCAUUCGGAUCUUACAUCGCUGGGGUUAGAAUGUUUCUCAACACAGAGGCCCAGGGCAUUUGGGGAGCAACUCUUGGACGCAAGAGACAGUCUUGCGCCUUGAAAAAUAACUCCCCCCGCCGGCCCCUCCCUGCCACCCUGAACUAACACCCUUCUCAUUGCGACAUCUCAGAAGGCCCUUCACUCUUUAAAGUGGGAAGGGCAUAGCACAGCCACGGACCUGACACACUUUGAAACCAGCCAUGGCCAAAAGGGCACAGAGUCACAACUGUCCUCAGAGAGCCCUUCAGGGAGGCUUCAAUCACUAGGGUCUGGGUCCAGAAGCUAAGAGCCCAAGAAUUCUCGUUACUCUUGGCCUUCCUUUCCCCCGGGGAGCAGAAACUUUGCCCGGGACGGUAGUGUGUGCGUGUGUGCACGUGCGUGUGAGUUCUGGGGUGGGGUGGAGAGCCUCAGUAGGAGGACCGAGGCAAGAACAUACUUUUCCGUCUCAUUUCAGUUUUGUUCUGUGGGGUAUUCGACACCAUAAGCCCAAACUUGCAACCGCAGAUGCGCGGUGGGAAUAUUCACCCUGCUGCCCACACUUCCAGCUUGAGCUUGAGUUCUGGAGUUUCUUGGUUAUUUUGGAGUUUUCAAAAGGAGCACAGCAUCAACAUUUAAGACGGUCACAUUCGCCAACAGCUGCCUUGCCUUUGAAGGAAACGAGACUUGACAGCAAGUCAUCAGCCGUGAGACGCGCUGCGCCAGCGAUGAAAUCAUUCCUGAAUUUGACUUCGCUUUUUCUUGGGAACUUGAACAAGAAACUGUGUAUUUACAGACAAAGGAGCAGUUGGACACCGGCUCGAGGACUGGCGGGGUGAGGACGUGCCUCUCUGAAGCCGGUGCGAAGAGCGGAGGCUCCUGUGACAGCGCGGCUGGGAGAGCCGGAACGCCACCCCGGCAUGGAGGGCCGUGGGCUGUGCCUGAGCACGGGCGGGCUACGGUCCACACCGUGGGCUCCGAAAGCACUCGGCGCUGGCACCUUCUACCCCGGCUCCCGCUGUUGCUUUGGGUUUUGGCUUUUUGAAGGCUGCCACAAGGAAACAGGAGGCACGAGGCAUCAGCCAGUCCCUCAGUUUAGGAGGGUUAUUCUGUCGGCUGCUGUCGUGAUUUACCGUGUUGUGUGAAACACGAAAUUGUACCUUCUGCCGGCAAGUUCAGUGAAUCCAGCUGGUGUCCAGAGGAGGAAACGAUGUUACGAACAGGAGGAAAGGACGGCAUCGCUCUAAGCAGGCCUUUCUCAUCCGCAAGACGGAACCCCUGAAAUCUGCUUCAGAGUCCCGGAGGCCAGCGGCCGGCACUCCUCCUCUC
Molecule: long non-coding RNA, 2401 nt
Organism: Ailuropoda melanoleuca (giant panda)
Lineage: Eukaryota; Metazoa; Chordata; Mammalia; Carnivora; Ursidae
Exons: 3
Source: RefSeq, a predicted model, not a curated record